AUUGAACGCUGGCGGCAGGCUUAACACAUGCAAGUCGAGCGAGCGGCGGACGGGUGAGUAAUGUCUGGGAAACUGCCUGAUGGAGGGGGAUAACUACUGGAAACGGUAGCUAAUACCGCAUACCAUCAGAUGUGCCCAGAUGGGAUUAGCUAGUUGGUGGGGUAAUGGCUCACCUAGGCGACGAUGACUAGCUGGUCUGAGAGGAUGACCAGCCACACUGGAACUAAUACACGGUCCAGACUCCUACGGGAGGGAGCAGGGGGGAAUAUUGCACAAUGGGCGCAAGCCUGAUGCAGACAUGGCGGGUAUGUGAAGAAGGCCUUCGGGUUGUAAAGCACUUUCAGCGAGGAGGCGUUACUCGCAGAAGAAGCACCGGCUGACUCCGUGCCAGCGGCCGCGGUAAUAC
Molecule: ribosomal RNA, 406 nt
Filed under: uncultured bacterium
Lineage: Bacteria
Description: partial 16S ribosomal RNA
Rfam family: Bacterial small subunit ribosomal RNA
Source: RNAcentral